This 148-nucleotide non-coding RNA is filed under the name Nomascus leucogenys (northern white-cheeked gibbon). Lineage: Eukaryota; Metazoa; Chordata; Mammalia; Primates; Hylobatidae. The record is from Rfam by way of RNAcentral.
GCCGGGCAUGGUGGCACACGCCUGUAAUCCCAGCUGCUGGGGAGGCUGAGACAGGAGAAUUGCUUGAACCCAGGAGGCGGAGCUUGCAGUGAGCUGAGAUCAUGCCACUGCACUCCAGCCUGGGUGACAGAGCAAGAUUCUGUCUCAA